Molecule: long non-coding RNA, 351 nt
Filed under: Monodelphis domestica (gray short-tailed opossum)
Lineage: Eukaryota; Metazoa; Chordata; Mammalia; Didelphimorphia; Didelphidae
Description: lncRNA (ENSMODG00000044670.1)
Source: RNAcentral
CUAAAGUCACACAGGUCAUAGAUGUAAAGGUUGGAUUUUAACCAGGGUCUUUGGAUUCUGGAAUUUGUACUCUUUCCAUUGUGUUAAUUUUUUUUUAUUUGUGUUUAAGGUAUCUUUCAGAUUCCAAAGAGACAUUCAGAAUUCUGUCUAGGUCUUGGAAACUGAGUUACACUUAAGGUUCUGUGAUUGGAAUAAGAAGUUUUUGGAAUGAACAGUUUUCUCCAUGGAAUAGAACAAUUCUAAAACCAGUAUGCUCCUUUCAAUUUCAACCAGAUAAAAGGUACUGGAAGGUUAUCCUACUCAUGACAGAAUGCACACAGUAAGGUAUAAGUACCUAGACCACAAUGUCAG